Molecule: long non-coding RNA, 322 nt
Filed under: Homo sapiens (human)
Lineage: Eukaryota; Metazoa; Chordata; Mammalia; Primates; Hominidae
Description: non-protein coding lnc-ATP2B1-6:2
Source: RNAcentral
AGUAUAGAAAUGAACAGGAUACACUGAAGUCCCUUCUAUCUUGUAUCAUUUUGUGCUCUGAUUUGGGGGGGGUUCAUUUUUUAUGCAAUAAAAAUGUGAUUGACUACUGUGUGCUGGCUUUUGUUCGAGCUGUCAGUUCAUUAGCACUUCCAACUAGAGUGGGAAGAAGCAGAGAACUGGAUAAAGCUCACGUCCACUAGUUUUGAGCUGUUUAGCAUUCCUAGUUCGGAGACAAAUUUGGUGGGAAAAGACUUGGAUGAGACUUAUUUGUCCAACUCUUUUUCUAUACCCCAUGUAAUUAUUAAACUGUAUGUGUGUAUAU